Long non-coding RNA from Cryptotermes secundus, 672 nucleotides. RefSeq lists it as uncharacterized. Lineage: Eukaryota; Metazoa; Arthropoda; Insecta; Blattodea; Kalotermitidae. The transcript is spliced from 4 exons. The record is from RefSeq and is a predicted model, not a curated record.
UGGUUAAGCGUGGUAGUCCUCGGUUGAAUGAGUUUGAGGCCUUUUAAUUUUUGACGUACAGGCUUUUUGCAUGGAAGGUUAAGGCGUCGGCGCUUCUGUAACUGUCAUGUGGGGGCUGGUUCAUGCAGAAGCAGUGGAGGUGUUACUGAAGCUGAGUGAAGGAUCCACAUCAGCACCAAUGUGACAGGCUGAAGGGUGCCGGUAGGGAGCGUUGCUGCCAGCAGGCGUAAAAAGGUCCCUUGAAUUCUGACUGGAGCUGAAAUGCAUCUGUUAGCAGACUGUGAGGCUGGUUCACCUAGAAGCAGUGGAGAUUGUGUUGAAACUGCAUGACGUCAAGUGAAGGAUCUCCAUCACUGCCUGUGAGAACACUUCAGGCUGGCAACACAGGGAGUGUUGCUACUGAGAGCUGUCAUGAGGAUGAAAUGUGUAAGAUUUGAGGUUAUCACAGCAGUGAAUGGAGAUUACAGUCUUCUGGCAUGUGACAUCAUGUGGUGUGGCAUGUACCAAACUGCAAUGUUACCAGGACCCUGGAGGAAGCUGCUGCCUGCAUCUUCAGGUUUCUCAGAUAUGUAGCUACCAGACUACGUGGCGGCACAUCUUGGAAGGAAACCUGUUUUGUUAGAAUAUUAGCCAUAAGGAUGAAUGUUUCAAAUGAAGCUCAUUGUAUUGUGA